AUUGAACGCUGGCGGCAUGCCUUACACAUGCAAGUCGAACGGUAACAGGUCUUCGGAUGCUGACGAGUGGCGAACGGGUGAGUAAUACAUCGGAACGUGCCCGAUCGUGGGGGAUAACGAAGCGAAAGCUUUGCUAAUACCGCAUAAGAUCUACGGAUGAAAGCAGGGGACCGCAAGGCCUUGCGCGAACGGAGCGGCCGAUGGCAGAUUAGGUAGUUGGUGGGAUAAAAGCUUACCAAGCCGACGAUCUGUAGCUGGUCUGAGAGGACGACCAGCCACACUGGGACUGAGACACGGCCCAGACUCCUACGGGAGGCAGCAGUGGGGAAUUUUGGACAAUGGGCGAAAGCCUGAUCCAGCCAUGCCGCGUGCAGGAUGAAGGCCUUCGGGUCGUAAACUGCUUUUGUACGGAACGAAAAGACGCUGGUUAAUACCUGGGGUCCAUGACGGUACCGUAAGAAUAAGCACCGGCUAACUACGUG
This 482-nucleotide ribosomal RNA is filed under the name uncultured bacterium. RNAcentral describes it as "partial 16S ribosomal RNA". It matches the Rfam family "Bacterial small subunit ribosomal RNA", at positions 30 to 507 of the family's 1533-position model. The record is from RNAcentral.